Long non-coding RNA from Bos taurus (domestic cattle), 407 nucleotides. The record is from Ensembl. NCBI's taxonomy places the organism in Eukaryota, Metazoa, Chordata, Mammalia, Artiodactyla, Bovidae.
GGGAAUCACCAGAGAUAGUCUAGAAUCUGAAGAUACUGAGGACCUCAAGAGCCACUGGGUGGAGGCUGUGGGGCCAGAGGAGCUCCCAAACUAUAGAGGAAAAACAGCCAAGGAGCGUCAGACAUGCAGCUACAUUCACUAUUGUCCACUACUCUCUAUAUCCUGGAAUGCAGAUAUUGGCUCGCCCUCUCACUUCCUGUCUCACCCACCUUCUGAAACCUGAACACUCCAAACAAGCCAAACCCCUGGUGAAAGUGAAGUCGCUUGGUUGUGUCCGACUCUUUGCGACCCCAUGGAACCCACCAGGCUCCUCCAUCCGUAGGAUGUUCCAGGCAAGAAUACUGGAGAGAUACUUUUGCAAAUUGGAGCAAGGUGCUCAGAGAAGUUAGACUCCUAGACUCCUACAG